GAUGAACGCUAGCGGCGCGCUUAACGCAUGCAAGUCGAGCGAUGAGGCUCCCUUCAGUGAGUAAUCACGGGUAGACUGGUGAGUAACACGUAUAUAUACCUGGCCUCAAGACGGUGUACCACCGGUGGAUACUGCUGCUAAUACCCGAUAUGCUCACAGGAUCUGGAGAUCGAUUGAGGAAAGGCUUCGGUGCUUGAAGAGGGAUCUGCGGACCAUCAGCUAUUUGGUGACUUAACUGCUCAUCAAGGCGACAACGGGUACGGGGUGUGAGAGCAUGGGCCCCCAACAAUGGGACUGAGACACUGUCCAUACUCCUACUGGAGGCAGCACCGGCGAAUAUCGCGCAAUGGACGGAAGUCACACACUAGGCGACGCCGCGGUGGGUGAUUGAAGGCCUUCGGGGUAGUAAAGCCCUUUACAUGGGAACGAGAAAUGACGGUACCCUUGGAAUAAGCGUCUUGCUAAGUACGUGACAGCAGCCGUGGCAAGACUUAAGACGCAAGCGUUAUCCGGAUUUACUGGGCGUGAAGCGCCUGUAGGCGGUCAUGUAAGUCGGAUGUGAAAGGCCCUGUGCUCGAACGCGGGGAAGCCAUUCGAUACUGAGUGACUAGAGAAUGGUAGAGGGAAACGGAAUUUCUGGUGUAACGGUCAAAUGCGCA
Molecule: ribosomal RNA, 659 nt
Filed under: uncultured organism
Description: bacterial SSU rRNA
Rfam family: Bacterial small subunit ribosomal RNA
Source: RNAcentral